UGGGGAAUAUUGCACAAUGGGCGCAAGCCUGAUGCAGCGACGCCGCGUGGGGGAUGACGGCCUUCGGGUUGUAAACUCCUUACGCUAGGGACGAAGCUUUUUGUGACGGUACCUAGAUAAGAAGCACCGGCUAACUACGUGCCAGCAGCCGCGGUAAUACGUAGGGUGCGAGCGUUGUCCGGAAUUACUGGGCGUAAAGGGCUCGUAGGUGGUUUGUCGCGUCGUCUGUGAAAUUCCGGGGCUUAACUCCGGGCGUGCAGGCGAUACGGGCAUAACUUGAGUACUGUAGGGGUAACUGGAAUUCCUGGUGUAGCGGUGAAAUGCGCAGAUAUCAGGAGGAACACCGAUGGCGAAGGCAGGUUACUGGGCAGUUACUGACGCUGAGGAGCGAAAGCAUGGGUAGCGAACAGG
Molecule: ribosomal RNA, 411 nt
Filed under: Actinomycetes bacterium
Lineage: Bacteria; Bacillati; Actinomycetota; Actinomycetes
Description: Actinobacteria bacterium partial 16S ribosomal RNA
Rfam family: Bacterial small subunit ribosomal RNA
Source: RNAcentral